AUGAACGCUAGCGGGAGGCCUAACACAUGCAAGCCGAGGGGUAUAUAGUUUUCGGACUAUAGAGACCGGCGCACGGGUGCGUAACGCGUAUGUAACUUACCUUUAUCACUGGGAUAGCCCGAGGAAACUCGGAUUAAUACCGGAUAACAUAUUUCAUAGCAUUUUGAGAUAUUAAAAGAUUCAUCGGAUAGAGAUAGACAUGCGUAGGAUUAGUUAGUUGGUAAGGUAACGGCUUACCAAGACAGUGAUCCUUAGGGGGCCUGAGAGGGUGAUCCCCCACACUGGAACUGAGACACGGACCAGACUCCUACGGGAGGCAGCAGUGAGGAAUAUUGGACAAUGGGUGCAAGCCUGAUCCAGCCAUCCCGCGUGAAGGAUGACAGCCCUACGGGUCGUAAACUUCUUUUGUAUGGGAAUAAACCUAGUCUCGUGAGAUUAGCUGAAGGUACCAUACGAAUAAGCACCGGCUAACUCCGU
This 477-nucleotide ribosomal RNA is filed under the name uncultured bacterium. RNAcentral describes it as "bacterial SSU rRNA". It matches the Rfam family "Bacterial small subunit ribosomal RNA", at positions 29 to 506 of the family's 1533-position model. The record is from RNAcentral.